This 255-nucleotide ribosomal RNA is filed under the name uncultured bacterium. Its description in RNAcentral is "partial 16S ribosomal RNA". It matches the Rfam family "Bacterial small subunit ribosomal RNA", at positions 524 to 776 of the family's 1533-position model. The record is from RNAcentral.
UACGUAGGGAGCGAGCGUUGUCCGGAUUCAUUGGGCGUAAAGAGCUCGUAGGCGGUUUGUCGCGUCUGCUGUGAAAACCCGAGGCUCAACCUCGGGCCUGCAGUGGGUACGGGCAGACUAGAGUGCGGUAGGGGGAGAUUGGAAUUCCUGGUGUAGCGGUGGAAUGCGCAGAUAUCAGGAGGAACACCAAUGGCGAAGGCAGAUCUCUGGGCCGUAACUGACGCUGAGGAGCGAAAAGCAUGGGGAGCGAACAGG